RNAcentral lists this long non-coding RNA (3069 nucleotides) under Podarcis lilfordi (Lilford's wall lizard). The record is from RNAcentral. Lineage: Eukaryota; Metazoa; Chordata; Lepidosauria; Squamata; Lacertidae.
UCUGUUGACUCCCAUUUUCCCUUUCCCAGGCGCAAUAUUUUUCCCACCCGAGGGCAAAGCCUCAUAAGGCUACAAGAGGACUGGUGAGAUUCCCUUGAAGCACAACUGAUCAAAGGCAGGCAGAUCUGUUAGCAUCUUGAUAAAGAUGCUCCAACGACAAAGGAUACUAUCAUACCCAGCAAGCAUCUCAGAAAAAGGUCCCAAGCUGAUGGAGAAGAGAGCAGGUUAAGUGGUCAGCGGGGCUCCAGGUUGCCAUUUCUGGAUCCCACCACAGCCCUUCCAAGUUGCCCAAGAAAUCAAUGUCACAACAGUUUAUUCCUCGCACCUCCUCCUCAUGAUCACCUCGUGGGGCCUUCUCAGGCAUACGCUGUGUCUGAACCAGCAGAUCCCACCCAGUCAGAAAAGGAGUGUGUGCAGUCAUACCAGAAAUAAGCAAAAUAACAAAAGUCACCCCAGAACUGGCCCUACUGAACAUAUUACAAGAUAACAAUGCCCACUCACACUAGAAAGAAAUACUGCACGCAGUAUUUCUUUUUAAAUUGGCUUCAAGUGCAUCUAAUUUAGGAAUAAAGGAUUUUAUCCUAAACUUAUCUCUUGAAGAAAGUGCAUCUAAGGCAUCAGGUGCACUUAUGUCAUUUCUUUGCCGUUCCCUCACUCUUUGUCUCCUUGUUUUGUAGUUAACAUUUGGCAAGGUGGCUUUUGCUUGUUUCUCAAGCUCAUCAAAAUAUUCCCUUUAAAAAAUCCGGAAGUGAACUGUACAAACUUGCACAAGAACUCAAAAACAGGUCUGAUUUCUGAAGGGCUUUGCUGACCUUGUGAAAACGACCUAGCACAUGGAUUUAUAUCUCUAAGAUUCUGCAGACUUUGGCUGUGAACUAGGGCCCACAAAAAAUUUCAAGUUAGGCCCUAGUUUCAAAUUGGGCCCCACUGGCUGGCCCUGAGUCUCAUAGUUGCUGGGCCUGAGUUGCCCGAAGUCUUGGGUUUGCAAUUUUGGGAGAGGGGAGACUGCUUGCUAGGGGGUGGGCAGGCUGCCGAGGCCCCAUAGAUUUAGAAGCCCUAGGCUUCAGCCUACUAGCCUAUACAAAAAUCUGACACUGCCCCCCUCUUUUCUUCCCAACCCUGUACUGCAUGUAACACCAAUGUCUCACAACAAAUGUAAGUGAAGAACCUAAAGAGACAAUGCAUGUGUUUUUGAGGGGAAAUUAUUUCAUUUUAAAAAAGAAAAGGUGUGUGGCAGACUCCAGUAUUUAAAGAGCCCCCACUCCUAUUACAUCAUUAGAACCAGAACAUAAACCUAUGAAACUAGAAAAGAGCAAAAAAAAUCAGUGUUUGAUCCAGAAUCUAGGUACUACACCCUCACUAAAGGAGACUGUAGGGAUGAUUCACUAAAGGAUUGUAGGAUGACGUGUGUACCUGAGCUUAUGGCCUCAAAUUCUUUUUAUCUCAUAUGCUGCUUUAUUACAAAAAUGGCGACUAUACUAAUAAUAAUAAUAAUAAUAAUAAUUUAUAUUUUUAUUUAUACCCUGCCCUCCCCAGCCAAGACAGGGCUCAGGGCGGCUAACGCCAGGUAUAAAAACAAUUGAUUAAAAUACAACUUAAAAACAAGAUUAAAAUACAACAUUAAGAUGCAGCCUCAUUUCAGUAGAAACGCAAAUCAAAAACUUUUUGACUACUGAUCCUUAAACUGAAUAGUUAUUUGCCCAACCACCCCCUCCAGAACCCACUGCUCUCAACUGACUCUCAACUGCCUAGCAUUCAAACUCCUUUUCAAAUUCUCAUCCAAUCAUCACUCACCACCAGAAUCCCAUACUCUCCCUUUCCCCCUCCCUCCCUCCUUGAAAUUUCCAUAUUAAUUCUAAUACAAUUACCUUAAUAACCCUAUUCCAUUCAAUAUUUUAUAUACGCUGCUCCUUAUAACCAUACUGUUAGAAGCACUUGAGUUCCUGGUUCCUAGGAAAUGGGGGUGAGGAAACUGCAGGUUCUUCAUCCCUGUUCUAAAAAGCAGAUAUCUUCCCCUAAACAAUCCCAGGAAUUGUAGUUUGUUAGGGGUUCUGGAGAUUGUAGGUCUGUGAGGGGGAAGCCACAAUGCCACGAAUCAUUUUGGGGGAAGUCAUGGGCUUCAAAGGCACAUUGGAUGCUCUUUAAAACAUAGCAUCAUAGAAUUGUAGAGUUGGAAGGGACCCCGAGGGUCAUCUAGUCCAACCCCCUGCAAUGCAAUUCCUCCCUGUGACGGCCCUUGAGAUAUGGUCAGGGCUUCAUGGUGUGGCUCUCAUAUCCAUGUCCUGAGGGACAGAGAGCAAAACAUUUCUCUCUCCCCUUUCUCCAGCCCAGGCAGAAUUGCAAGGGGUCUGUGCAUCUGGCUGGUAAGAAGAUGGUUGAGGUCUGGAGCCCAGCCAGGGUUGGCAGUGGGCAGGAUCAUGGCAUUGCCGGGAGUUGGACUAGAUGACCCUUGGGAUCCCUUCCAACUCUACCAACUCUAGUGACUGGGGGCAGCCGCCGAGACCACACAACACCGGUCUUGAAAGACCUACAUUGGCUCCCAGUAUGUUUCUGAGCACAAUGCAAAGUGUUGGUGUUGACCUUUAAAGCCCUAAACGGCCUUGGUCCAGUAUACCUGAAGGAGCAUCUCCACCCCCAUUGUUCAGCCCAGACACUGAGGUCCAGCCCCGAGGGUCUUCUGUCGGUUCCCUCACUGUGAGAAGCCAAGUUACAGGGAACCAGGCAGAGGGCCUUCUUGGUGGUGGCGCCCUCCCUGUGGAACGCCCUCCCAUCAGAUGUCAAAGAGAUAAACUACCUGACAUUUAGAAGACAUCUGAAGGCAGCCAUGUUUAGGGAAGUUUUUAAUGUGUGACAUUUUAAUGUAUUUUUAAUCUUUGUUGGAAGCUGCCCAGAGUGACUGGGGAGACACAGCCAGAUGGGCUGGAUACAGUGGUGCCUCGCAAGACGAAAUUAAUCCGUUCCGCGAGUGUCUUCGUCUAGCGGUUUUUUCCGUCUUGCGAAGCAACCCUAUUAGCGGAUUAGCGGAUUAGCGCUAUUAGCGGUUUAGCGGCUAUUAAAGGCUUAUCGGCU